AGAGUUUGAUCAUGGCUCAGGACGAACGCUGUCGGCAUGCCUAACACAUGCAAGUUGAACGGAGAUUAUUUCGAUAAUCUUAGUGGCGAACGGGUGAGUAACGCGUGGGCAACCUGCCCUCUAGAUGGGGACAACAUUCCGAAAGGGGUGCUAAUACCGAAUGUGACAGCAAUCUCGCAUGAGGAUGCUGUGAAAGAUGGCCUCUAUUUAUAAGCUAUCGCUAGAGGAUGGG
RNAcentral lists this ribosomal RNA (232 nucleotides) under uncultured bacterium. Its description in RNAcentral is "partial 16S ribosomal RNA". It matches the Rfam family "Bacterial small subunit ribosomal RNA", at positions 8 to 229 of the family's 1533-position model. The record is from RNAcentral.